AUGUGCUGCCUGGGUAGCGCACUAGUCCAUUCAGCUGCUUCUUGUUAUUGCUCCCAUUCUCGUUGCUUGGGAGCAGAUCUCCCUUAAUUAAACUGAACUCGGUAACCCUCUUCAAUGGAAUGGGUAAGUUUAUUUUCUUUUGAACAUUAAAUAAUGCAUCUUGUCAGAUAUGAAAUACUCUGAAGUCAGUUUUUGUCCAUACAUGACUUUUGAUUGCGAAUUUUAGUCCAUGCUAUGUGCUCCAUGUUAGUUCAUAUGUGAUGCUACUAAACUUUAACAUGUUAGUUCAUUUGGACUAACAUGUUAGUCCAUGUUAGUUCAUGUGUCAUGCUAUUGCAAAUUAGAAAUGAAGUAGCGUGUCUCCAUACCUCCACUGCCAUAUGACCACCUGGCUAGGCUGGCUUUGCCAUCCUAGUCCAAUAUAUUAAUUGGUCAAGUUAGAUCAUACUUUAACCAGGUUUGCAACUUGUUUAUUUAAAGCCAUAGAUGUCUUUGUUCUUCAUAUAGUGAUAUUAUAUGGGGAUGGUUGAAACAAAGAAAUAUAUAGGUGUUAGAGAGAUUUCCUCUCCUCAUCAAAACUGAUUGUAUAACUGCACAUCAAUAGCAUUUGAUUUCUUGUAAUCAUAGCAUUCAAUAGUGUUUAUAGCAUUUGUAAC
Molecule: long non-coding RNA, 656 nt
Filed under: Rosa chinensis
Lineage: Eukaryota; Viridiplantae; Streptophyta; Magnoliopsida; Rosales; Rosaceae
Description: sRNA RchiOBHm_Chr2g0128971
Source: RNAcentral